AUUGAACGCUGGCGGCAUGCCUUACACAUGCAAGUCGAACGGUAACAGGUUAAGCUGACGAGUGGCGAACGGGUGAGUAAUGUAUCGGAACGUGCCCAGUCGUGGGGGAUAACUGCUCGAAAGAGCAGCUAAUACCGCAUACGACCUGAGGGUGAAAGCGGGGGAUCGCAAGACCUCGCGCGAUUGGAGCGGCCGAUAUCAGAUUAGGUAGUUGGUGAGGUAAAGGCUCACCAAGCCGACAAUCUGUAGCUGGUCUGAGAGGACGACCAGCCACACUGGGACUGAGACACGGCCCAGACUCCUACGGGAGGCAGCAGUGGGGAAUUUUGGACAAUGGGCGCAAGCCUGAUCCAGCCAUGCCGCGUGCGGGAAGAAGGCCUUCGGGUUGUAAACCGCUUUUGUCAGGGAAGAAAAGGUUCUGGCUAAUACCUGGGACUCAUGACGGUACCUGAAGAAUAAGCACCGGCUAACUACGUG
RNAcentral lists this ribosomal RNA (477 nucleotides) under uncultured bacterium. RNAcentral describes it as "partial 16S ribosomal RNA". It matches the Rfam family "Bacterial small subunit ribosomal RNA", at positions 30 to 507 of the family's 1533-position model. The record is from RNAcentral.